GACGAACGCUGGCGGCGUGCUUAACACAUGCAAGUCGAACGGAAAGGCCCUGCUUUUGUGGGGUGCUCGAGUGGCGAACGGGUGAGUAACACGUGAGUAACCUGCCCUUGACUUUGGGAUAACUUCAGGAAACUGGGGCUAAUCCCGGAUCGGAGCUCCUGCUGCAUGGUGGGGGUUGGAAAGUUUCGGCGGUUGGGGAUGGACUCGCGGCUUAUCAGCUUGUUGGUGGGGUAGUGGCUUACCAAGGCUUUGCCGGGUAGCCGGCCUGAGAGGGUGACCGGGCACAUGGGUACUGAGAGACGGCCCAGACUCCUACGGGGGGCAGCAGUGGGGAAUAUUGCACAAUGGUCGGAAGCCUGAUGCAGCAACGCCGCGGGCGGGGUGACGGCCUGCGGGUUGUAAACCGCUUUCGCCUGUGACGAAGCGGGAGUGACGGUAAUGGGUAAAGAAGCACCGGCUAACUACGUG
RNAcentral lists this ribosomal RNA (468 nucleotides) under uncultured bacterium. Its description in RNAcentral is "partial 16S ribosomal RNA". It matches the Rfam family "Bacterial small subunit ribosomal RNA", at positions 28 to 507 of the family's 1533-position model. The record is from RNAcentral.